This 355-nucleotide ribosomal RNA is filed under the name Ocyptamus bromleyi. Its description in RNAcentral is "partial 12S ribosomal RNA". The record is from RNAcentral. Lineage: Eukaryota; Metazoa; Arthropoda; Insecta; Diptera; Syrphidae.
UUAAAAAGUAAAUAAAUUUAUUUGAGUAGUAUUAGUUAUAUUCUUGAAACUAAAAAAAUUUGGCGGUAUUUUAGUCUAUUCAGAGGAACUUGUUUUUUAAUCGAUAAUCCACGAUGUACCUUACUUAAAAUUGUUAAUCAAUCUAUAUAUCGUUGUUAUUAGAAUAUUUUAUAAGAAUAAUAAUUUUCUAUAAUUUUAAUUAAAAUUAAUAUCAAAUCAAGGUGUAGUUUAUUUUUAAGAAUAAAUGAGUUACAAUAAAAUUUAUUUUUGGAUUUAAAUAUGAAAAAUUUAAUGAAAUUGGAUUUGAUAGUAAAAUUAUAAAGAUAAAUAAUUUGAUUUUAGCUCUAAAAUAUGU